RNAcentral lists this ribosomal RNA (2904 nucleotides) under Escherichia coli. RNAcentral describes it as "23S ribosomal RNA". It matches the Rfam family "Bacterial large subunit ribosomal RNA". The record is from RNAcentral. Lineage: Bacteria; Pseudomonadati; Pseudomonadota; Gammaproteobacteria; Enterobacterales; Enterobacteriaceae.
GGUUAAGCGACUAAGCGUACACGGUGGAUGCCCUGGCAGUCAGAGGCGAUGAAGGACGUGCUAAUCUGCGAUAAGCGUCGGUAAGGUGAUAUGAACCGUUAUAACCGGCGAUUUCCGAAUGGGGAAACCCAGUGUGUUUCGACACACUAUCAUUAACUGAAUCCAUAGGUUAAUGAGGCGAACCGGGGGAACUGAAACAUCUAAGUACCCCGAGGAAAAGAAAUCAACCGAGAUUCCCCCAGUAGCGGCGAGCGAACGGGGAGCAGCCCAGAGCCUGAAUCAGUGUGUGUGUUAGUGGAAGCGUCUGGAAAGGCGCGCGAUACAGGGUGACAGCCCCGUACACAAAAAUGCACAUGCUGUGAGCUCGAUGAGUAGGGCGGGACACGUGGUAUCCUGUCUGAAUAUGGGGGGACCAUCCUCCAAGGCUAAAUACUCCUGACUGACCGAUAGUGAACCAGUACCGUGAGGGAAAGGCGAAAAGAACCCCGGCGAGGGGAGUGAAAAAGAACCUGAAACCGUGUACGUACAAGCAGUGGGAGCACGCUUAGGCGUGUGACUGCGUACCUUUUGUAUAAUGGGUCAGCGACUUAUAUUCUGUAGCAAGGUUAACCGAAUAGGGGAGCCGAAGGGAAACCGAGUCUUAACUGGGCGUUAAGUUGCAGGGUAUAGACCCGAAACCCGGUGAUCUAGCCAUGGGCAGGUUGAAGGUUGGGUAACACUAACUGGAGGACCGAACCGACUAAUGUUGAAAAAUUAGCGGAUGACUUGUGGCUGGGGGUGAAAGGCCAAUCAAACCGGGAGAUAGCUGGUUCUCCCCGAAAGCUAUUUAGGUAGCGCCUCGUGAAUUCAUCUCCGGGGGUAGAGCACUGUUUCGGCAAGGGGGUCAUCCCGACUUACCAACCCGAUGCAAACUGCGAAUACCGGAGAAUGUUAUCACGGGAGACACACGGCGGGUGCUAACGUCCGUCGUGAAGAGGGAAACAACCCAGACCGCCAGCUAAGGUCCCAAAGUCAUGGUUAAGUGGGAAACGAUGUGGGAAGGCCCAGACAGCCAGGAUGUUGGCUUAGAAGCAGCCAUCAUUUAAAGAAAGCGUAAUAGCUCACUGGUCGAGUCGGCCUGCGCGGAAGAUGUAACGGGGCUAAACCAUGCACCGAAGCUGCGGCAGCGACGCUUAUGCGUUGUUGGGUAGGGGAGCGUUCUGUAAGCCUGUGAAGGUGUGCUGUGAGGCAUGCUGGAGGUAUCAGAAGUGCGAAUGCUGACAUAAGUAACGAUAAAGCGGGUGAAAAGCCCGCUCGCCGGAAGACCAAGGGUUCCUGUCCAACGUUAAUCGGGGCAGGGUGAGUCGACCCCUAAGGCGAGGCCGAAAGGCGUAGUCGAUGGGAAACAGGUUAAUAUUCCUGUACUUGGUGUUACUGCGAAGGGGGGACGGAGAAGGCUAUGUUGGCCGGGCGACGGUUGUCCCGGUUUAAGCGUGUAGGCUGGUUUUCCAGGCAAAUCCGGAAAAUCAAGGCUGAGGCGUGAUGACGAGGCACUACGGUGCUGAAGCAACAAAUGCCCUGCUUCCAGGAAAAGCCUCUAAGCAUCAGGUAACAUCAAAUCGUACCCCAAACCGACACAGGUGGUCAGGUAGAGAAUACCAAGGCGCUUGAGAGAACUCGGGUGAAGGAACUAGGCAAAAUGGUGCCGUAACUUCGGGAGAAGGCACGCUGAUACGUAGGUGAAGUCCCUCGCGGAUGGAGCUGAAAUCAGUCGAAGAUACCAGCUGGCUGCAACUGUUUAUUAAAAACACAGCACUGUGCAAACACGAAAGUGGACGUAUACGGUGUGACGCCUGCCCGGUGCCGGAAGGUUAAUUGAUGGGGUCAGCGCAAGCGAAGCUCUUGAUCGAAGCCCCGGUAAACGGCGGCCGUAACUAUAACGGUCCUAAGGUAGCGAAAUUCCUUGUCGGGUAAGUUCCGACCUGCACGAAUGGCGUAAUGAUGGCCAGGCUGUCUCCACCCGAGACUCAGUGAAAUUGAACUCGCUGUGAAGAUGCAGUGUACCCGCGGCAAGACGGAAAGACCCCGUGAACCUUUACUAUAGCUUGACACUGAACAUUGAGCCUUGAUGUGUAGGAUAGGUGGGAGGCUUUGAAGUGUGGACGCCAGUCUGCAUGGAGCCGACCUUGAAAUACCACCCUUUAAUGUUUGAUGUUCUAACGUUGACCCGUGAUCCGGGUUGCGGACAGUGUCUGGUGGGUAGUUUGACUGGGGCGGUCUCCUCCUAAAGAGUAACGGAGGAGCACGAAGGUUGGCUAAUCCUGGUCGGACAUCAGGAGGUUAGUGCAAUGGCAUAAGCCAGCUUGACUGCGAGCGUGACGGCGCGAGCAGGUGCGAAAGCAGGUCAUAGUGAUCCGGUGGUUCUGAAUGGAAGGGCCAUCGCUCAACGGAUAAAAGGUACUCCGGGGAUAACAGGCUGAUACCGCCCAAGAGUUCAUAUCGACGGCGGUGUUUGGCACCUCGAUGUCGGCUCAUCACAUCCUGGGGCUGAAGUAGGUCCCAAGGGUAUGGCUGUUCGCCAUUUAAAGUGGUACGCGAGCUGGGUUUAGAACGUCGUGAGACAGUUCGGUCCCUAUCUGCCGUGGGCGCUGGAGAACUGAGGGGGGCUGCUCCUAGUACGAGAGGACCGGAGUGGACGCAUCACUGGUGUUCGGGUUGUCAUGCCAAUGGCACUGCCCGGUAGCUAAAUGCGGAAGAGAUAAGUGCUGAAAGCAUCUAAGCACGAAACUUGCCCCGAGAUGAGUUCUCCCUGACUCCUUGAGAGUCCUGAAGGAACGUUGAAGACGACGACGUUGAUAGGCCGGGUGUGUAAGCGCAGCGAUGCGUUGAGCUAACCGGUACUAAUGAACCGUGAGGCUUAACCUU